UAGGGAAUCUUCNNGCAAUGGACGGAAGUCUGACCGAGCAACGCCGCGUGAGUGAAGAAGGUUUUCGGAUCGUAAAGCUCUGUUGUAAGAGAAGAACGAGUGUGAGAGUGGAAAGUUCACACUGUGACGGUAUCUUACCAGAAAGGGACGGCUAACUACGUGCCAGCAGCCGCGGUAAUACGUAGGUCCCGAGCGUUGUCCGGAUUUAUUGGGCGUAAAGCGAGCGCAGGCGGUUAGAUAAGUCUGAAGUUAAAGGCUGUGGCUUAACCAUAGUACGCUUUGGAAACUGUUUAACUUGAGUGCAAGAGGGGAGAGUGGAAUUCCAUGUGUAGCGGUGAAAUGCGUAGAUAUAUGGAGGAACACCGGUGGCGAAAGCGGCUCUCUGGCUUGUAACUGACGCUGAGGCUCGAAAGCGUGGGGAGCAAACAGGAUUAGAUACCCUGGUAGUCCACGCCGUAAACGAUGAGUGCUAGGUGUUAGACCCUUUCCGGGGUUUAGUGCCGUAGCUAACGCAUUAAGCACUCCGCCUGGGGAGUACGACCGCAAGGUUG
RNAcentral lists this ribosomal RNA (551 nucleotides) under uncultured bacterium. Its description in RNAcentral is "bacterial SSU rRNA". It matches the Rfam family "Bacterial small subunit ribosomal RNA", at positions 355 to 896 of the family's 1533-position model. The record is from RNAcentral.